GAGAACAGAUGACGCAAGGCUCCAAAGUUCAGAGAACUGAACAAGGGGGAUGAGACUCAAAACAAGAGGACUCCUGACUCACUAGGUUAGGGUGAUCCUUACGUGAGAGUGACGUUAUAUGACCCAAUGAAUGGAGUUCUUACAAGUGUGCAAACAAAAACCAUUAAAAAGAGUUUGAAUCCAAAGUGGAAUGAAGAAAUAUUAUUCAGAGUUCAUCCUCAGCAGCACCGGCUUCUUUUUGAAGUGUUUGACGAAAACCGAUUGACAAGAGAUGAUUUCCUAGGUCAAGUGGAUGUUCCACUUUAUCCAUUACCGACAGAAAAUCCAAGAUUGGAGAGACCAUAUACAUUUAAGGAUUUUGUUCUUCAUCCAAGAAGUCACAAAUCAAGAGUUAAAGGUUAUCUGAGACUAAAAAUGACUUAUUUACCUAAAACCAGUGGCUCAGAAGAUGAUAAUGCAGAACAGGCUGAGGAAUUAGAGCCUGGCUGGGUUGUUUUGGACCAACCAGAUGCUGCUUGCCAUUUGCAGCAACAACAAGAACCUUCUCCUCUACCUCCAGGGUGGGAAGAGAGGCAGG
Molecule: long non-coding RNA, 577 nt
Filed under: Homo sapiens (human)
Lineage: Eukaryota; Metazoa; Chordata; Mammalia; Primates; Hominidae
Description: non-protein coding lnc-PRTG-2:2
Source: RNAcentral